Podarcis lilfordi (Lilford's wall lizard) is the source of this 225-nucleotide non-coding RNA. NCBI's taxonomy places the organism in Eukaryota, Metazoa, Chordata, Lepidosauria, Squamata, Lacertidae. The record is from the annotation of a GenBank genome assembly.
CCUGAAGCGUAUGUAACCCAAGGUACCACUGUAAAGAAUUUACAACUCACUACAGUUCAAUUAGCAUUGUUCUGUAAUAGUAACAUUAUUCUCUAACACAUGUGGUGAAGGUGUUCCUCCCUAUGUGAGGGUCUGCAUUCUCACAGGAAUGCAAGUUAAAGAUGUAGGGGAUCUUUUAUAUGUUGGGACACUGGGCCUCCCAGAGUACUAGCAGCUUAUGUAGAG